CAAAAAUGGCCAAGGCUUUACCAUACCGAAAAUCGGCCGAUUUUUAACCAUGUGAGAAACGUCCCGAAAAUUCACAGAUAACUACUAGGAGGCCUCACUCUGAGUAAUAUGAAAGUUUUCUCCCACAAGAACCGCUCGGAGAUGCCCGGACUCAGUUUUUAUUUUCGUCCCAAUACUUUUCUUCCCAUGGACUAGUUGUGUUUCUUUGAUCUUGUGCAACCUAUUUAGGCCGAUGAUAGCCCGCGGAUAGGUGUGGAAACCCAUCUAUAUUGCACCCAGUAUGACACAGAAAAAAAGCCCAGGGCCUAGGGGUCGGGUGGGGCUCGUUCGGGUGCACAACGGUUGCGCCAAAAACGGUCCAAAAAUGGCCAAGGCUUUACCAUACCGAAAAUCGGCCGAUUUUUAACCAUGUGAGAAACGUCCCGAAAAUUCACAGAUAACUACUAGGAGGCCUCACUCUGAGUAAUAUGAAAGUUUUCUCCCACAAGAACCGCUCGGAGAUGCCCAGACUCAGUUUUUAUUUUCGUCCCAAUACUUUUCUUCCCAUGGACUAGUUGUGUUUCUUUGAUCUUGUGCAACCUAUUUAGGCCGAUGAUAGCCCGCGGAUAGGUGUGGAAACCCAUCUAUAUUGCACCCAGUAUGACACAGAAAAAAAGCCCAGGGCCUAGGGGUCGGGUGGGGCUCGUUCGGGGUGCACAACGGUUGCGCCAAAAACGGUCCAAAAAUGGCCAAGGCUUUACCAUACCGAAAAUCGGCCGAUUUUUAACCAUGUGAGAAACGUCCCGAAAAUUCACAGAUAACUACUAGGAGGCCUCACUCUGAGUAAUAUUAAAGUUUUUUCCCACAAGAACCGCUCGGAGAUGCCCAGACUCAGUUUUUAUUUUCGUCCCAAUACUUUUCUUCCCAUGGACUAGUUGUGUUUCUUUGAUCUUGUGCAACCUAUUUAGGCCGAUGAUAGCCCGCGGAUAGGUGUGGAAACCCAUCUAUAUUGCACCCAGUAUGACACAGAAAAAAAGCCCAGGGCCUAGGGGUCGGGUGGGGCUCGUUCGGGGUGCACAACGGUUGCGCCAAAAACGGUCCAAAAAUGGCCAAGGCUUUACCAUACCGAAAAUCGGCCGAUUUUUAACCAUGUGAGAAACGUCCCGAAAAUUCACAGAUAACUACUAGGAGGCCUCACUCUGAGUAAUAUUAAAGUUUUCUCCCACAAGAACCGCUCGGAGAUGCCCAGACUCAGUUUUUAUUUUCGUCCCAAUACUUUUCUUCCCAUGGACUAGUUGUGUUUCUUUGAUCUUGUGCAACCUAUUUAGGCCGAUGAUAGCCCGCGGAUAGGUGUGGAAACCCAUCUAUAUUGCACCCAGUAUGACACAGAAAAAAAGCCCAGGGCCUAGGGGUCGGGUGGGGCUCGUUCGGGGUGCACAACGGUUGCGCCAAAAACGGUCCAAAAAUGGCCAAGGCUUUACCAUACCGAAAAUCGGCCGAUUUUUAACCAUGUGAGAAACGUCCCGAAAAUUCACAGAUAACUACUAGGAGGCCUCACUCUGAGUAAUAUGAAAGUUUUCUCCCACAAGAACCGCUCGGAGAUGCCCAGACUCAGUUUUUAUUUUCGUCCCAAUACUUUUCUUCCCAUGGACUAGUUGUGUUUCUUUGAUCUUGUGCAACCUAUUUAGGCCGAUGAUAGCCCGCGGAUAGGUGUGGAAACCCAUCUAUAUUGCACCCAGUAUGACACAGAAAAAAAGCCCAGGGCCUAGGGGUCGGGUGGGGCUCGUUCGGGGUGCACAACGGUUGCGCCAAAAACGGUCCAAAAAUGGCCAAGGCUUUACCAUACCGAAAAUCGGCCGAUUUUUAACCAUGUGAGAAACGUCCCGAAAAUUCACAGAUAACUACUAGGAGGCCUCACUCUGAGUAAUAUCAAAGUUUUCUCCCACAAGAACCGCUCGGAGAUGCCCAGACUCAGUUUUUAUUUUCGUCCCAAUACUUUUCUUCCCAUGGACUAGUUGUGUUUCUUUGAUCUUGUGCAACCUAUUUAGGCCGAUGAUAGCCCGCGGAUAGGUGUGGAAACCCAUCUAUAUUGCACCCAGUAUGACACAGAAAAAAAGCCCAGGGCCUAGGGGUCGGGUGGGGCUCGUUCGGGGUGCACAACGGUUGCGCCAAAAACGGUCCAAAAAUGGCCAAGGCUUUACCAUACCGAAAAUCGGCCGAUUUUUAACCAUGUGAGAAACGUCCCGAAAAUUCACAGAUAACUACUAGGAGGCCUCACUCUGAGUAAUAUUAAAGUUUUCUCCCACAAGAACCGCUCGGAGAUGCCCAGACUCAGUUUUUAUUUUCGUCCCAAUACUUUUCUUCCCAUGGACUAGUUGUGUUUCUUUGAUCUUGUGCAACCUAUUUAGGCCGAUGAUAGCCCGCGGAUAGGUGUGGAAACCCAUCUAUAUUGCACCCAGUAUGACACAGAAAAAAAGCCCAGGGCCUAGGGGUCGGGUGGGGCUCGUUCGGGGUGCACAACGGUUGCGCCAAAAACGGUCCAAAAAUGGCCAAGGCUUUACCAUACCGAAAAUCGGCCGAUUUUUAACCAUGUGAGAAACGUCCCGAAAAUUCACAGAUAACUACUAGGAGGCCUCACUCUGAGUAAUAUGAAAGUUUUCUCCCACAAGAACCGCUCGGAGAUGCCCAGACUCAGUUUUUAUUUUCGUCCCAAUACUUUUCUUCCCAUGGACUAGUUGUGUUUCUUUGAUCUUGUGCAACCUAUUUAGGCCGAUGAUAGCCCGCGGAUAGGUGUGGAAACCCAUCUAUAUUGCACCCAGUAUGACACAGAAAAAAAGCCCAGGGCCUAGGGGUCGGGUGGGGCUCGUUCGGGGUGCACAACGGUUGCGCCAAAAACGGUCCAAAAAUGGCCAAGGCUUUACCAUACCGAAAAUCGGCCGAUUUUUAACCAUGUGAGAAACGUCCCGAAAAUUCACAGAUAACUACUAGGAGGCCUCACUCUGAGUAAUAUGAAAGUUUUCUCCCACAAGAACCGCUCGGAGAUGCCCAGACUCAGUUUUUAUUUUCGUCCCAAUACUUUUCUUCCCAUGGACUAGUUGUGUUUCUUUGAUCUUGUGCAACCUAUUUAGGCCGAUGAUAGCCCGCGGAUAGGUGUGGAAACCCAUCUAUAUUGCACCCAGUAUGACACAGAAAAAAAGCCCAGGGCCUAGGGGUCGGGUGGGGCUCGUUCGGGGUGCACAACGGUUGCGCCAAAAACGGUCCAAAAAUGGCCAAGGCUUUACCAUACCGAAAAUCGGCCGAUUUUUAACCAUGUGAGAAACGUCCCGAAAAUUCACAGAUAACUACUAGGAGGCCUCACUCUGAGUAAUAUUAAAGUUUUCUCCCACAAGAACCGCUCGGAGAUGCCCAGACUCAGUUUUUAUUUUCGUCCCAAUACUUUUCUUCCCAUGGACUAGUUGUGUUUCUUUGAUCUUGUGCAACCUAUUUAGGCCGAUGAUAGCCCGCGGAUAGGUGUGGAAACCCAUCUAUAUUGCACCCAGUAUGACACAGAAAAAAAGCCCAGGGCCUAGGGGUCGGGUGGGGCUCGUUCGGGGUGCACAACGGUUGCGCCAAAAACGGUCCAAAAAUGGCCAAGGCUUUACCAUACCGAAAAUCGGCCGAUUUUUAACCAUGUGAGAAACGUCCCGAAAAUUCACAGAUAACUACUAGGAGGCCUCACUCUGAGUAAUAUUAAAGUUUUCUCCCACAAGAACCGCUCGGAGAUGCCCAGACUCAGUUUUUAUUUUCGUCCCAAUACUUUUCUUCCCAUGGACUAGUUGUGUUUCUUUGAUCUUGUGCAACCUAUUUAGGCCGAUGAUAGCCCGCGGAUAGGUGUGGAAACCCAUCUAUAUUGCACCCAGUAUGACACAGAAAAAAAGCCCAGGGCCUAGGGGUCGGGUGGGGCUCGUUCGGGGUGCACAACGGUUGCGCCAAAAACGGUCCAAAAAUGGCCAAGGCUUUACCAUACCGAAAAUCGGCCGAUUUUUAACCAUGUGAGAAACGUCCCGAAAAUUCACAGAUAACUACUAGGAGGCCUCACUCUGAGUAAUAUUAAAGUUUUCUCCCACAAGAACCGCUCGGAGAUGCCCAGACUCAGUUUUUAUUUUCGUCCCAAACUUUUCUUCCCAUGGACUAGUUUUGUUUCUUUGAUCUUGUGCAACCUAUUUAGGCCGAUGAUAGCCCGCGGAUAGGUGUGGAAACCCAUCUAUAUUGCACCCAGUAUGACACAGAAAAAAAGCCCAGGGCCUAGGGGUCGGGUGGGGCUCGUUCGGGGUGCACAACGGUUGCGCCAAAAACGGUCCAAAAAUGGCCAAGGCUUUACCAUACCGAAAAUCGGCCGAUUUUUAACCAUGUGAGAAACGUCCCGAAAAUUCACAGAUAACUACUAGGAGGCCUCACUCUGAGUAAUAUCAAAGUUUUCUCCCACAAGAACCGCUCGGAGAUGCCCGGACUCAGUUUUUAUUUUCGUCCCAAUACUUUUCUUCCCAUGGACUAGUUGUGUUUCUUUGAUCUUGUGCAACCUAUUUAGGCCGAUGAUAGCCCGCGGAUAGGUGUGGAAACCCAUCUAUAUUGCACCCAGUAUGACACAGAAAAAAAGCCCAGGGCCUAGGGGUCGGGUGGGGCUCGUUCGGGUGCACAACGGUUGCGCCAAAAACGGUCCAAAAAUGGCCAAGGCUUUACCAUACCGAAAAUCGACCGAUUUUUAACCAUGUGAGAAACGUCCCGAAAAUUCACAGAUAACUACUAGGAGGCCUCACUCUGAGUAAUAUCAAAGUUUUCUCCCACAAGAACCGCUCGGAGAUGCCCAGACUCAGUUUUUAUUUUCGUCCCAAUACUUUUCUUCCCAUGGACUAGUUGUGUUUCUUUGAUCUUGUGCAACCUAUUUAGGCCGAUGAUAGCCCGCGGAUAGGUGUGGAAACCCAUCUAUAUUGCACCCAGUGUGACACAGAAAAAAAGCCCAGGGCCUAGGGGUCGGGUGGGGCUCGUUCGGGGUGCACAACGGUUGCGCCAAAAACGGUCCAAAAAUGGCCAAGGCUUUACCAUACCGAAAAUCGGCCGAUUUUUAACCAUGUGAGAAACGUCCCGAAAAUUCACAGAUAACUACUAGGAGGCCUCACUCUGAGUAAUAUCAAAGUUUUCUCCCACAAGAACCGCUCGGAGAUGCCCGGACUCAGUUUUUAUUUUCGUCCCAAUACUUUUCUUCCCAUGGUUUAGUUGUGUUUCUUUGAUCUUGUGCAACCUAUUUAGACCGAUGAUAGCCCGCGGAUAGGUGUGGAAACCCAUCUAUAUUGCACCCAGUAUGACACAGAAAAAAAGCCCAGGGCAUAGGGGUCGGGUGGGGCUCGUUCGGGGUGCACAACGGUUGCGCCAAAAACGGUCCAAAAAUGGCCAAGGCUUUACCAUACGAAAAAUCGGCCGAUUUUUAACCAUGCGAGAAACGUCCCGAAAAUUCACAGAUAACUACUAGGCGGCCUCACUUUGAGUAAUAUUAAAGUUUUUUCCCACAAAAACAGCUCGGAGAUGCCCAGACUCAGUUUUUAUUUUCGUCCCAAUACUUUUCUUCCCAUGGUUUAGUUGUGUUCCUUUGAUCUUGUGCAACCUAUUUAGACCGAUGAUAGCCCGCGGAUAGGUGUGGAAACCCAUCUAUAUUGCACCCAGUAUGACACAGAAAAAAAUCCCAGGGCAUAGGGGUCGGGUGGGGCUCGUUCGGGGUGCACAACGGUUGCGCCAAAAACGGUCCAAAAAUGGCCAAGGCUUUACCAUACGAAAAAUCGGCCAGGUUUUAACCAUGCGAGAAACGUCCCGAAAACUCACAGAUAACUACUAGGCGGCCUCACUUUGAGUAAUAUUAAAGUUUUUUCCCACAAAAAAGCUCGGAGAUGCCCAGACUCAGUUUUUAUUUUUUCGUCCCAAUACUUUUCUUCCCAUGGUUUGGUUGUGUUCCUUUGAUAUUUUGCGACCUAUUUAGACCUAUGAUUGCCCGCGGAUAGGUGUGGAAACCCAUCUAUAUUGCACCCAGUAUGACACAGAAAAAAAUCCCAGGGCAUAGGGGUCGGGUGGGGCUCGUUCGGGGUGCACAACGGUUGCGCCAAAAACGGUCCA
This 6120-nucleotide long non-coding RNA is filed under the name Cucumis sativus (cucumber). RNAcentral describes it as "long non-coding RNA (CSAT_LNC000469)". Lineage: Eukaryota; Viridiplantae; Streptophyta; Magnoliopsida; Cucurbitales; Cucurbitaceae. The record is from RNAcentral.